GUCAGGUUACACAGUGGGGUGUGCUCCCAUGGCUGCUAGCUUCUGGCCUCUCCGGUCGAGCAAGCAUCAGCUUUCGGCUAGCGGGCAACUAACAACAGCGGGCAAUGCUCUGAGGCUGUAUAAUAAUUUCAUCUCUGAUUUCAAGACCAAGAUCAACCUUCCUGAAAUUGCUCACUAAAUGGUUCACGCCAAUAUUCACAGAAAAAAGAGAAAUAGCCGCUGGUGCCGAGUGAGGGAGUUUGCUUCUAUUUUUUGUCGAGUUCACUUUGUAUAACAGCAGAAGUCUAGUCUGUAAAGUUAUUUUUCUUGUUUAUUCAUUUCCAUGUAAAUGGAAGUAGUUUCACACCAGUAUUCACAGAAAAAAAAGAGAAAUAGCCGCUGGUGCCGAGUGAGGGAGUUUGCUUCUAUUUUUGUGUGGAGUUCACUUCGUAUAACAGCAGAAGUCUGUAAAGUUCUUUUUCUUGUUUAUUAAUUUCCAUUUAAUAGUAAAUAUUUCAUCGAACUUGAGUUUUA
Lolium rigidum is the source of this 513-nucleotide long non-coding RNA. RefSeq lists it as uncharacterized. NCBI's taxonomy places the organism in Eukaryota, Viridiplantae, Streptophyta, Magnoliopsida, Poales, Poaceae. The record is from RefSeq and is a predicted model, not a curated record. The transcript is spliced from 2 exons.